AUUUGGCGGGCCAGAUGCCCCAGGGCGCGGCGGCGUUGUCUGCCUGCCGCUGCCGCCCCUGCGGGGCCGGGGCGCUUCUUCUUGGGCGGCUCUGCCAGUGCAGUGAGCGAGUAAAGGUAUGUGUGGCGGGCGCGGCUGGGCCGGCUGCCGCUGCGCAGGCAGGUCCUAAUGCCUGUCACUUCCCAGGACAUUGGCAGCGGCAGCCGGGAGCCCCAGACCCUGGGGCAGGUUCGCCUGUCCUUCCCUGCGAUCUGAUUGGAUAAAGUGGGGCCUCGACGGUGGCCGACGUGGGACAGUCUGGCUGUGGCAGGGGUCUCGGAAACCAUGGGUUAUUGCAGUGGCAGGUGCACGCUUAUCUUUAUCUGUGGCAUGCAACUGGUUUGUGUGCUGGAAAGGCAAAUAUUUGAUUUCCUUGGAUAUCAGUGGGCACCUAUCCUGGCAAAUUUUAUACAUAUAAUCAUCAUCAUCCUUGGUUUGUUUGGAACUAUUCAAUAUAGACCUCGUUAUGUAACAGGAUAUGCUGUCUGGCUAGUCCUCUGGGUGACCUGGAAUGUGUUUGUUAUCUGCUUCUACUUGGAGGCUGGAGAUCUCUCAAAGGAAACAGACCUCAUCCUGACAUUUAAUAUUUCAAUGCACCGAUCUUGGUGGAUGGAGAAUGGACCAGGAUGUAUGGUGACAUCUGUGACACCUGCCCCAGAUUGGGCUCCAGAAGACCAUCGAUACAUCACUGUCUCGGGGUGCUUUCUGGAGUACCAGUACAUAGAAGUGGCUCAUAGUUCCCUCCAGAUUGUCCUCGCACUGGCGGGCUUCAUCUACGCCUGUUACGUUGUGAGAUGUAUAGCUGAAGAAGAGGACAGCUUUGACUUCAUAGGUGGUUUUGAUUCUUAUGGAUAUCAAGGGCCUCAGAAGACAUCUCACUUACAACUGCAACCAAUGUACAUGCAAAUUCCCUUGGAUAACAACUGAUAGCAAAUUCUAUAUCUCAGCAUCAAGUGAUAUGCUGAAUUGCAAGAGAAGAUCAAAAUAGAAAGUCAAAAUAACACAGAUGGCUUCUGUCUGUCAGCCCAUGGACUCCUCAAAUGAUUUGUGCAGUGGCCUCUUGCCUUUUAUGAAGCUCAAGACGCAAAUGGAUUUAAAUACACAUAUAUGUUAUCAGACCAAACAGGAAGUUUCUACAUAGAUACAUGAGUGAACACACACACAAACACACACCACUGCCAUUAUCAUGCACACAUCAAGUACACUGGACCUCCUCUUUCUGACUGAAAGUGAUAAAUAUGCAGGAUACCCCCAUCCUGGAUUUCCUUAAUGCAGGCUCCCUUUUCCCAGACCUUUGAAGAUGAGAAAGGAGCUGUAUGGGUAUCUUCUACAGAUCUCUACUCACACAUCUGCAGCCCAGACUGUUGGCUCUGAGAAGUGCCAAGCUAACCCAGCCACCCUGCUUUCUACACUCCAUAUCAUACAUCUCAAUUGCACCACAGCUACUUUAAUUGCAAAAACCAGUCAGACAGAACAUGCCGUGAUGACCUUGUACCAAAUGCAAAAUGGCAUGUCAUCUGCCCUAAAGGUUAUACCGUACAUACUUGCCUUAAACCACCUGCAUUGUGUGCCCGAGACUCUCAGUGCAGACGUCUCCCAGUAACAUACUUUAGGGGAACACACUGCUAUUAAUUCCAGACAACUUUGACUCUGUCUCACAUCAAGUAAUAAGACUGAGCCACUCAGCAGCUCCUGUUGAACUGUAAGAAAUUGAUGCUUUACUACUGAGCCUCUUCAGUGGCCACAGAGAGACAAAGAGGCAACAACAACAGUAGCUCUCAUCUUCAUGUCUCUUAAACAUGGUCUUCUGAUGGUGGAACAAAGUAAAAUGCAUUUAUCUACUAAACUCAUUAAUUUACUAAAGGCAGAAAUGGCUUAACUGGUUGGUUUUCUUUCUUGCACUUUAAUUGCUUUUCUACGUCUCUACAAAUGGAUUUUCCUAACACAGGAAACAGUUGUAGAUUUCUAUGACAGAGGCCAACUAACUAUGUAUUAGCUAUGUUUACUCUUUUAUAUCUAAUUCAAAUCCAAGACCCAAUGUAGGUGAACUUUCUUUUCUAACUUCAGCUUACAAGAUUAUUUUGGGGGUGGGUGGGAUGCAAUAGUUAACUUAGUGAAAUUUUUGAGAUCUCUUUGUGGUAUUUGGGGGAUCUGUUGUGUGUUAGACUGUAUUCCAACUCUCCUGUAUUAGUGUGGCAGAAAAAAAAAACCUGUGCUGUUGACGUAGUUGGCAAUGAGAUACCUUUGGAGACAAUAGUAGGUAAUGUGUUUAUGGAAUAUUCUGAACUCUCUAGGCAAUUUAGUUCUAUAUUUUCAAGCACUCUUUGGUUUUCAUUAGUGGAAGACAUAAUUAGCUCAAGCUUAUCGGUAACACAGAUAAGUCAUGUUUUUCUUGGAUCUACUUGAGACACUAACAUUGGCAUGGAACAACUCCUUUUCUUUUGGUACUUACAGUUUCAUUUACUGGGUUAACCCUUUUUGCAUUCAGACCUCCAUUAAGACAGGCCAGUUACUGUCUUGCCUAAGAUGUUUGCAACAUAUGUCCAUUUAAACCCAUUCAAAAUCAAUGAAGGCACUAAAAAUGGCCAUUGGAACAAAAACUAAAUGCAUAAAAAGAUUAUAACACUUACACUUGAGUUUUCCCAGUGGCUUGUAUAUGUUGGUCCAUACCUAUAUGUGUGAAAUGGACAGUUGUAAACAUGUCAGUGAAACCUCAUAUGGUGUUUUUAUAGUGAUAUGCAUGUUUAAAGUUUGAGGAAUUAGUUGCCAAUGUACUGUUCUUUUAUUCCUAAAAUAUAAAUACUAUACAUGCUAGAAGCUAUUCUAAUGUGACUAUUGACAUGAGGUUUCACUGCAUUGCUGCUGGGAUGGGAUUCCACCUCGUAGUACAUGUGUAGGAGGGAGUAAAAUAAGUCGUCAUGUUUCUUUUUAAGUUGCAGCCGACUCUCCACCAAGUCAGUAUAUCAUCACCACCAAAUUUUUCAGAAACAGUUGUUGACUACUCAAGAGUAGUCAGUGAGCAGGCCUUUUUAGGAACAGUAAGCACAGUAAUGGGAUUCUAGCUGGGAAACAUCAAAGCUGUACAGCUAUAUCCUCCUCAAAACCUGGUGAAGAAUGCUAUUUUUCUAGGCUGAGCUUUUGUUAUAAACCUAAUAUUCUGAAAGCAAGAGUUAACUAUCGUGAUCUGUCUUUUUUUUCUCCUCUUGCAUUUGUUAAUUCUGAAUGUAUUUUUAACAGAGUGAUUUUUUUGACUUUACUAGUGUAAUUUGCAUUUUAAAAAUAAAUGGAAAAACAAUUAAGUUUCUGAGCCAUCCCUCAAA
This is an RNA transcript of Mastomys coucha (southern multimammate mouse), 3359 nucleotides long. It is a transcript of the gene named sodium/potassium transporting ATPase interacting 2, with no coding region annotated. The transcript is spliced from 8 exons. The record is from RefSeq and is a predicted model, not a curated record. Lineage: Eukaryota; Metazoa; Chordata; Mammalia; Rodentia; Muridae.